This 74-nucleotide transfer RNA is filed under the name Lophophytum mirabile subsp. bolivianum. RNAcentral's name for it is "tRNA-Asp". It matches the Rfam family "tRNA". Rfam says of the family: Transfer RNA (tRNA) molecules are approximately 80 nucleotides in length. Their secondary structure includes four short double-helical elements and three loops (D, anti-codon, and T loops). Lineage: Eukaryota; Viridiplantae; Streptophyta; Magnoliopsida; Santalales; Balanophoraceae. The record is from RNAcentral.
AGCCCACCUCAGUAGCUCAGUGGUAGAGCGGUCGGUGACUAACACUGACUGGUCGUUGGUUCGAAACCAACCCG